Molecule: ribosomal RNA, 520 nt
Filed under: uncultured bacterium
Lineage: Bacteria
Description: bacterial SSU rRNA
Rfam family: Bacterial small subunit ribosomal RNA
Source: RNAcentral
GAUGAACGCCGGCGGUGUGCCUAAUACAUGCAAGUCGAGCGCACUGGCCCAACUGAUAUGACGUGCUUGCACUGAUUUGACGAUGGAUUACCAGUGAGCGGCGGACGGGUGAGUAACACGUGGGCAACCUACCCUAAAGCGGGGAAUAACAUUUGGAAACAGGUGCUAAUACCGCAUAACUACGAAAACCACAUGGUUUUCGUAUCAAAGAUGGUUUCGGCUAUCACUUUAGGAUGGACCCGCGGUGCAUUAGCUAGUUGGUAGGGUAACGGCCUACCAAGGCAAUGAUGCAUAGCCGAGUUGAGAGACUGAUCGGCCACAAUGGAACUGAGACACGGUCCAUACUCCUACGGGAGGCAGCAGUAGGGAAUCUUCCACAAUGGACGCAAGCCUGAUGGAGCAACACCGCGUGAGUGAAGAAGGGUUUCGGCUCGUAAAACUCUGUUGUUGAAGAAGAACGUGCAUGAGAGUAACUGUUCAUGCAGUGACGGUAUUCAACCAGAAAGUCACGGCUAACUAC